UGCCGCUUGCGAGGGCGUAUGGUGGAUGCCUUGGCAGACAGUACCGAUGAAGGACGUUUGAGGAUGCGAUAAUCCUAGGGGAGCCUCCAACAUGGCUUUGAUCCUAGGGUCUCCGAAUGGGGGAACCCGCCGGCCGUCAUGGGCCGGCACCGCCUAUGGGCGGGGGGUACGCAGGGAAGUGAAACAUCUCAGUACCUGCAGGAAGGGAUACUCCGUGAGUAGUGGCGAGCGAAAGCGGAUCAGACCAAACCGGUUGCGCGUGAUACCCGUCGGGGGUUGCGUUGCCGGUGUCGUGGGAUCACGUGUCCCGGUUCCGACGGGCCGGGCGGGAGUCAUAAAACGGCUUGCCAGGGGAACAGGCUUGAAGGCCUGGCCGUAGAGGGUGCCAGCCCCGUACCUGGACGUGAGCCGUCUUCCGAUCGUGUUGUCCCAAGUAGCGCGGGCCUCGUGGAAUCCCGCGUGAAUCAGCCCAGACCGUUGGGUAAGUCUAAGCAUACCUGUCUGACCGAUAGCGUACCAGUACCGUGAGGGAAAGGUGAAAAGCACCCCGGGAGGGGAGUGAAACAGUUCCUGAAACCGUGCGCCCACAAACCGUCGGAGCCUCCUUGUGGGGUGACGGCGUGCCUAUCGAAAAAUGAGUCUGCGAGUCAGUGGCGGGUGGCGAGCAUAAGCCGUGUGGCGUAUGCGUAGCGAAAGCGAGUCUUAAAAGGCGUUUGUAGUCGCUUGUCCUGGACCCGAAGCGGGAUGAUCUAGCCCUGGGCAGGUUGAAGCGCGGGUAAGACCGCGUGGAGGACCGAACCCACCUGGGUUGAAAACCGGGGGGAUGACCUGGGGCUAGGGGUGAAAGGCCAAUCAAAUUCCGUGAUAGCUGGUUCUCUCCGAAAUGCAUUUAGGUGCAGCGUCGGUCGAUUGCGUCGCGGGGGUAGAGCUACCGGAUGCUUGCGGGCCCUUGUUGGGUACCAACAGCAGCCGAACUCCGAAUACCGUUGACGUGUAUUCCGGCAGUGAGUCGGCGGGGGAUAAGCUCCGUCGUCGAGAGGGAGACAGCCCAGACCGUCGUCUAAGGUCCCGAAGCGUGUGCUAAGUGGGAAAGGAUGUGGAGUCGCAUAGACAGCCAGGAGGUUGGCUCAGAAGCAGCCAUCCUUGAAAGAGUGCGUAACAGCUCACUGGUCUAGUGGUUCCGCGCCGACAAUGUAGCGGGGCUCAAGCACACCACCGAAGACGCGGCAGCAAUCUUCAUGGUUGCUGGGUAGGAGAGCGUCCUGCGAGGGGCGAAGCGGCCGGGUAACCGUGCCGUGGACUUCGUGGGAGUGAGAAUGCAGACAUGAGUAGCGAGAGACGGGUGAGGAUCCCGUCCGCUGGAUGACCAAGGGUUCCGGGGCCACGUUCGUCGUCCCCGGGUGAGUCGGGUCCUAAGGCGAGGCCGACAGGCGUAGUCGAAUGGAUGAACGGGUGGAUAUUCCCGUACCGACCAUGGACCGGCAAAACCGAGACGGUGAGUACUAACCUCCGCCUCGUGGUGGUUCCUUCCUUCGGGUUGGUGUCGCCGCGUGGUGUUGGGAGCGUAGCCGCAGUAGGUCAGCGCAGGGGUGACACGGAAUGGGAGCCGGCCGCGGAGGUGGUUUUCCGUGGUCAAGCACGCAGCCAGUCAUGUAGGCAAAUCCGCAUGGCGUGCAUGGCGAGGUGUGAUGAUGGGAGCCUUUUGGGCUCGAUAUCCGGUUGUCCAGGCCGUCGAGAAAAGCCUCGGCGUGAGGGCCAUGGCCGCCCGUACCCCAAACCGACACUGGUGGUCAGGUAGAGAAUACCAAGGCGAUCGAGCGAAUCCUGGUCAAGGAACUCGGCAAAUCACUCCCGUGCCUUCGGUAUAAGGGAGACCCACUGGGGUGAAGGACCUUGCGUCCGGAGCUUUGGUGGGUGGCACAGACCAGGGGGUAGCGACUGUUUACCAAAAACACAGGUGCAUGCGAAGGCGAAAGCCGCUGUAUAUGCACUGACGCCUGCCCGGUGCCGGAAGGUUAAGAGGAUCCGUCAAUCCCUUCGGGAUGAAGCGGUGAAUUCAAGCCCCGGUAAACGGCGGUGGUAACUAUAACCAUCCUAAGGUAGCGAAAUUCCUUGUCGGGUAAGUUCCGACCUGCACGAAUGGCGUAACGACUU
RNAcentral lists this ribosomal RNA (2154 nucleotides) under human gut metagenome. RNAcentral describes it as "bacterial LSU rRNA". It matches the Rfam family "Bacterial large subunit ribosomal RNA", at positions 1 to 2010 of the family's 2925-position model. The record is from RNAcentral.